UACAGAGGUCUCAAGCGUUGUUCGGAUUCAUUGGGCGUAAAGGGUGCGUAGGCGGUGAGGUAAGUCGGAUGUGAAAUCCCGGGGCUCAACCCCGGAACUGCAUUCGAUACUGCCUUGCUUGAGCACUGGAGAGGAGACUGGAAUUUACGGUGUAGCAGUGAAAUGCGUAGAUAUCGUAAGGAGGACCAGUGGCGAAGGCGAGUCUCUGGACAGUUGCUGACGCUGAGGCACGAAGGCCAGGGGAGCAAACGGG
RNAcentral lists this ribosomal RNA (253 nucleotides) under uncultured bacterium. RNAcentral describes it as "partial 16S ribosomal RNA". It matches the Rfam family "Bacterial small subunit ribosomal RNA", at positions 524 to 776 of the family's 1533-position model. The record is from RNAcentral.